GGAGAGCGCUUUCAGGAAGUCGGACUUACAGGAGGCUGCGUACAGUGCUGCCUGGAAGAUCUGCACGAUCCAGCCGUGGUACUUCAUGAGGGCCAUUUCGUAGGCCUUGGUGGCGUUGACGCGGAUGAGGUUGAGGUGGUUCUCGUCCGGCUCCUCGUUGCAGAUGCUCUGGAGGAAGACCUGGAUGAAGCGGAGGCCUCUUUUCAGCCACAUCAGCGCCAGCGUGGCCCCUACUUUGAGCCGCUCUGCUCCAUACAUUUCUUUCUCCACCUCCAGGAUGUUCUGCAGGGUCCGGAACUUGGCUGGGUUGGUGUCGUACACAGCUUUGAUUUUUGUGAUGUUGCUGCUUAUGUCUGCCUUGAUGGGAGUAAACACUGGGGACCCAAGGCAAUCGAAGAAGGGCGGCAGGUGGGACACCGCCUCGAGGAAGGGCCCAGUCUCGAUCUGCUUGUCCGCGGGCAGCGGCUUCAGCAGGUGUUCGGUCAGCAGAGCCAUUUCGGGUUCGAGGCCCACGGUGAUGCCCCAGCCGGCACCGCGGGCGUCCACACCGCACCCCCCGCCACCGCCGUCAGCGCCCGGGCAGUCACAGCCCUUUUUUUGGUAUGUU
RNAcentral lists this long non-coding RNA (607 nucleotides) under Homo sapiens (human). RNAcentral describes it as "non-protein coding lnc-SAAL1-3:2". The record is from RNAcentral. Lineage: Eukaryota; Metazoa; Chordata; Mammalia; Primates; Hominidae.